This 429-nucleotide ribosomal RNA is filed under the name Gemmatimonadota bacterium. Its description in RNAcentral is "Gemmatimonadetes bacterium partial 16S ribosomal RNA". It matches the Rfam family "Bacterial small subunit ribosomal RNA", at positions 355 to 776 of the family's 1533-position model. The record is from RNAcentral. Lineage: Bacteria; Pseudomonadati; Gemmatimonadota.
UAGGGAAUCUUCGGCAAUGGACGAAAGUCUGACCGAGCAACGCCGCGUGAGUGAAGAAGGUUUUCUGAUCGUAAAACUCUGUUGUUAGAGAAGAACAAGGACGUUAGUAACUGAACGUCCCCUGACGGUAUCUAACCAGAAAGCCACGGCUAACUACGUGCCAGCAGCCGCGGUAAUACGUAGGUGGCAUGCGUUGUCCGGAUUUAUUGGGCGUAAAGCGAGCGCAGGCGGUUUCUUAAGUCUGAUGUGAAAGCCCCCGGCUCAAGCAGGGAGGGUCAUAGGAAACUGAGAGACUUGAGUGCAGAAGAGGAGGGUGGAAUUCCAGGUGUGGCGGUGAAAUGCGUAGAUAUAUGGAGGAACACCAGUGGCGAAGGAGGCUCUCUGGUCUGUAACUGAGGCUGAGGAACGAAAGCGUGGGGAGCAAACAGG